This 110-nucleotide ribosomal RNA is filed under the name Periophthalmus magnuspinnatus. The record is from RNAcentral. Lineage: Eukaryota; Metazoa; Chordata; Actinopteri; Gobiiformes; Gobiidae.
UAAUAAAAUAAAACCACCGUGAGAAUGCUCAAUCUCGUUUGAACUUGGAAACUAAGCGGGGUUGGGCCUGGUUAGUACUUGGAUGAGAGACUGCUGGGAAUAUGAGAUGC